ACUAUUCCAAGUUGCCUCUAGCAAGUGUAAAGUUUCUGUUAAUCAUCAGUUUCAUUCACACCAAAAGGAAGGAGUGAACUGCCAACUUCAAAGGCACACAGGGGAGUGAGUUGAGACUUGAGACAGACAACGAAACAUUGCAUUGAACUCUCUGAUGAAAGAUGAACACCACGGGCAGGCGUUUAUUCGAGGCGGCUGGCAUGAACCAGCAAGCAGCACUGCCCAAGACCUCACGAAUGUGCCGAGACAUCAAAUCGCACACCCCACGACAGACAGACCAAAUGGAAACUACGGUAGACAAAUCAUAGCGCAGCCGACACUUCACCCUCCUGCUCGAUGAAUGCGCCCUCUUCAUGCCCCGAAUCCGCGCUAGUUGCCGCUGCUCUCGCCGUCGACCGCCAAUGGAACUGCAGCAGCCUGAAUUCAACAAAACAUACAAACCCUAAGUAAGCAUACUGAAGUGGACACUGAUAUAUGUUCCUCUCUGUUGGUCAGAUAACCUACCAGGCUGCGGUACUUGAGAGCGUAGAACAUCUCCAGGUAACGGCGAGUCUCGCGCCUCUCCAGGUUGCUCACGUACUUCCAGAACCCAUACACACCGGUCAGGGUCAUCAGCCUCUCUGAGUAGAGCUUCCAGGUGUACCUGAGCAUUCAGAAAUUAUAGGAUCAACAUUUGUUCAGGGACAUGACUUGGAACUAUCCUGGCACAACAAGAAGAGAAU
This 722-nucleotide long non-coding RNA is filed under the name Hordeum vulgare. Its description in RNAcentral is "long non-coding RNA (HVUL_LNC017919)". The record is from RNAcentral. Lineage: Eukaryota; Viridiplantae; Streptophyta; Magnoliopsida; Poales; Poaceae.